AGCGCUUGGAGCCACUCAGUGUUCUGUGUUCAUUCAGACAGACAGGAGGGCAACAUGCCAACAUUAUUCCUCUUCUCUUGGCUCAUUGGGGUUUGUCUGGGUGAUGAAGUCUACCAAACUCCUCCAGAACUUCUCAGAAGACCUGGAGACAAAGUCGAGCUGGUCUGCAGCCAUGAAAGGAGCUACUUCAGUCAUGCAGUGGUACCAGAAAUCAGCUGGAAACCGAGCUCUGAAACGCAUUGGACAUGUGUAUUACAGCAACAUAGAGCAGGAGAAGUCUUUCAAAGAGCAUUUUAACAUCACUGGAGAUAUGAGUGGAGACGGAGCAAAGAACAGCUCUCUGGUUAUAUACAACCUGAAGGCCCCUGAGCACAGUGCGGUGGACUACUGUGCAGCUAGCAGGGCACACUGACUGAACAUCCCCUCUCCGUUAGACAAAAACUCUCAACCAACUUUGAUCAACAUGUAUGGUUUUGAAUAAGAACCCCUCCCAGCCAGCUGCUCUUGAUUCGCUGCCAUCGUCUGUCAGACAUUAUACAGUGAUGCCGUUUCAUCUUCACUUCCUUUAACGUUUCAGUAGAGGCCUCAGUUGGAUCUCCAUCGCUCACAGGACCCAGGUUGAUAUUACAGUCAGCGACUUACACCUCAAACUCUAGGAUACAUACUUCGGAAAAGUAAUCUAUAAAAGGCGUUUGAGUAACGAUUUUGAGCAAGUCAAAAUGAUCAGUUUUCUUUUUUUCUGUUGCCUAGCAGGUGUGUGUCUGGGUCUUGAUGUCCAGCAGUCUCCCUCUGAUCUCAUCACCAAAUCUGGAGACAAAGUGGAGAUAUUCUGCAGCCAUGAUAAAACUGACUACAGGGUGAUGCUCUGGUACCAGCGCUCACCUGGAGACACGGCUAUGAAACUCAUUGGAUAUUUGUACUAUAAAGCUGCCACAAAGGAAGAGCCAUAUAAAGAACAUUUUAAUAUGUCUGGAGAUUUGGGGGUUAAUACAGUAAAAAACACCUCUCU
Molecule: long non-coding RNA, 1009 nt
Organism: Perca flavescens (yellow perch)
Lineage: Eukaryota; Metazoa; Chordata; Actinopteri; Perciformes; Percidae
Exons: 3
Source: RefSeq, a predicted model, not a curated record